AUGACGACGUCUCCUCUAGGACCUGACAGU
RNAcentral lists this non-coding RNA (30 nucleotides) under Actinoplanes sp. SE50/110. Lineage: Bacteria; Bacillati; Actinomycetota; Actinomycetes; Micromonosporales; Micromonosporaceae. The record is from RNAcentral.